GACGAGGUGGCCGAGAGGUUAAGGCGAUGGACUGCUAAUCCAUUGUGCUUCUCAUGCGUGGGUUCGAAUCCCAUCCUCGUCG
This 82-nucleotide transfer RNA is filed under the name Danionella translucida. It matches the Rfam family "tRNA". Rfam says of the family: Transfer RNA (tRNA) molecules are approximately 80 nucleotides in length. Their secondary structure includes four short double-helical elements and three loops (D, anti-codon, and T loops). RNAcentral also lists the same sequence under 1 other name. The record is from Rfam by way of RNAcentral. Lineage: Eukaryota; Metazoa; Chordata; Actinopteri; Cypriniformes; Danionidae.